Molecule: ribosomal RNA, 773 nt
Filed under: uncultured Neocallimastigales
Lineage: Eukaryota; Fungi; Neocallimastigomycota; Neocallimastigomycetes; Neocallimastigales
Description: partial large subunit ribosomal RNA
Rfam family: Eukaryotic large subunit ribosomal RNA
Source: RNAcentral
AGAGAGAGACAUGCGCGCAUAUCAAUAAGCGGAGGAAAAGAAACUAACAAGGAUUCCCUUAGUAACGGCGAGUGAAGCGGGAAGAGCUCAAAUUUGAAAUCUUCAAGGUUCUACCUUGACGAAUUGUAGUUUAUAGAAGUGUUUUCUGUUAGUGGAGUGGCAAAAGUUCUUUGGAAUAGGACAUCAUAGAGGGUGAGAAUCCCGUAUUUGGUCAUUCCUCCUAGCGUUGUGAUACACUUUCAACGAGUCGGAUUGUUUGGGAAUGCAGUCCAAAAUGGGUGGUAAAUUUCAUCUAAAGCUAAAUAUUGGCGAGAGACCGAUAGCGAACAAGUACCGUGAGGGAAAGAUGAAAAGAACUUUGAAAAGAGAGUUAAACAGUACGUGAAAUUGUCAAAAGGGAAGCGUUUGACACCAGUGUUGUUUUUCCGAAAAUCAAUUACGAAUGUUUUAUUUUGAGGAGUUAUGACUUCAUCGGCUUGCUCCUUUCUUUAUGAAACUUUCUUAAUGCACUUUUCGGUUAACAAGUCAACAUCAAUUUCUUUUGUUGUAAAAGGGUAUGAGGAAGGUGGCUUUCUUUUCGGAGAAAGUGUUUAUAGCCUUGUGCCUCUGCAAUCGGAGAGAUUGAGGUCUGCAGCGUAGAUCCUUCGGGGUUAGAUACGUUUGUGCUAAGUUAUAGCUUUUCAUAGACAACUUGUUGACUAUGUUUAGUCUUGUAGCUUACUCGCUGACGCUAUUUUACCUACGCUUAGGAUGUUGAUAGUCACAGCGUGUAC